RNAcentral lists this ribosomal RNA (1548 nucleotides) under Triticum aestivum (bread wheat). RNAcentral's name for it is "partial small subunit ribosomal RNA". The record is from RNAcentral. Lineage: Eukaryota; Viridiplantae; Streptophyta; Magnoliopsida; Poales; Poaceae.
GCAGUCAGGGCACCUUGUGAGCAGCACUGGACCAUACUAACGCCAUUUUGAGUGCACGGCAGAGGAGGUGGACAUCUGCACUAGGUCGUCGGAGAAGAGGAAGAAUGGGGAAAGGGGGAGCGAUGGGCGGGAGCAGGCGGACGAGCACGGGCGGUCGUCUCUUUUAGCUGCGAAGAGGUGGGUCCCGCGCUUACGUGGACAAGUGGUGAGUCCUGCGCUUACGUGGAUAAAUGGUGGGUUCAGCCCCUAACAGCCAAUGAGGGCAUCACUUCAGCUUUAGGGUCAUGUCGUGUUUGGGCUAUUUAUUCGCCCAAAAGUGUCACACCAAAGCCAUUCGGUCGAACAACGUCUCACUCCUUUCAAUUCCCACGAAAGGUGUCGCACAGGAGCUACUGACCCGUAUGAGAAGUCAGGGAUUUUCAGCGUGAGGUCAGCCUAUAAGAUGAUCACUAAAACAAAAUGAUGUCGGGAGGACUGGCUAGAGGAGCAUCCCGGACCAUCAAACAGAAAGGAAGAAGAGAAGGUACAGGUAAAUCUGUGGAAAGUUUAUGUGCCAGCAAAGUUGCGAGUUUUCUUACGGCGGUUGUCCCAUCAUUCCAUACCGACGAAGGACGCGAGAAUGCACAUAAAUCUAUAUCUUUACCUAAUAAUAAAGCAAAUUGUGUUUUGGUCGUUCGUCAUGCUUUUUUGCAAAAAGCCCCCGCGGUUUGCUAAAAUCAACCCGUAGUACUACAGGAAUCAAGUAAAAAAAUCUCUCGCUGGUACAAUUCCUCGCUCCAAUCCAAGGCUGCCGCCAUCGCCCUGCCCGGCCUUGCCCGCGCCACCAUCGCCUUGCCCGUCCUUUCCCGGCGGCGCGGGCGCCUACCGCCGUGUCAGGUUGCGCCCGCCCAGCUUCGCUCGCACCCCGCCGACCGCACCCUCGCCCGCCUCCAUGCCUAGUUUCUCCCGACGCGGAACUGGCAGAGGACAUAGGCGGUCGGCGUGCUCUCUUGGGGCGAGGCGUCGCGGCACGUCAGCGACACGCGAGGGUUGUGCGACAGAGGAAACAAAAAGAGGGACAAUAGAGAGCAUAGAGGGGUCUUGGAUCCUUGCUAGCCCACGCUCACCAAAGACCUGGAGAACCUCCACUCGAGCAGGGCAAAGAGAUGGCCGGCGACGGCUUCGCGGCCGUGCUGGGUCGAGGCAGCUGCGUAGCCCACGCGGUGGACGAACAUGCACUCCUCUCCGGCGUCCUCCUCCCAUCGGCAGGCGAGGCAGGAAAGCGGCGGAUUCGAAUAUCACGACGCAACCUUCCUACUACUCCAGCUCAUGCGUGGCCGUGUGCGUCACGACCAGAGAUGGAGACCCGGCUGCUGUCCGGGAGGGAAGGCACAACAAUCGGAGAGCAUGGCCGAUGAGUUGCAGCCUUAGGCGCUCGGCUUGGAUGUGAGGUCGAGCUGGAAAGAGGAGAGAGCCCAGCGAGCGGGGAGGCGGAGCUCACUUGCGGGUGUAGAGAGAGGGAGCGCUGGGGAAGGGAGAGCUGGCCGACGGGGGGCUUGCAAGUGGUGG